AGUCGAGCGGAGCUUAUCCUUCGGGGUAAGCUUAGCGGCGGACGGGUGAGUAACACGUAGGCAACCUACCCUCUAGACUGGGAUAACUACCGGAAACGGUAGCUAAUACCGGAUAAUUCCUUCACCCUCAUGGGCGAGGGAUGAAAGGCGGAGCAAUCUGCUACUAGAGGAUGGGCCUGCGGCGCAUUAGCUAGUUGGUGGGGUAACGGCCUACCAAGGCGACGAUGCGUAGCCGACCUGAGAGGGUGAACGGCCACACUGGGACUGAGACACGGCCCAGACUCCUACGGGAGGCAGCAGU
This 301-nucleotide ribosomal RNA is filed under the name Paenibacillus helianthi. RNAcentral describes it as "bacterial SSU rRNA". It matches the Rfam family "Bacterial small subunit ribosomal RNA", at positions 60 to 355 of the family's 1533-position model. Lineage: Bacteria; Bacillati; Bacillota; Bacilli; Caryophanales; Paenibacillaceae. The record is from RNAcentral. RNAcentral also lists the same sequence under 1 other name.